UGGGGAAUAUUGGACAAUGGGCGCAAGCCUGAUCCAGCAAUGCCGCGUGUGUGAAGAAGGCCUGCGGGUUGUAAAGCACUUUAAGCAGGAAAGAAGGGUGGAGUGAUAAUACCACUUCGCAUUGACGUUACCUGCAGAAUAAGCACCGGCUAACUCCGUGCCAGCAGCCGCGGUAAUACGGAGGGUGCGAGCGUUAAUCGGAAUUACUGGGCGUAAAGCGCGCGUAGGCGGUUUGAUGAGUCCGUCGUGAAAGCCCUGGGCUUAACCUGGGAACUGCGGUGGAUACUGUUGAGCUAGAGUGUGGUAGAGGGAAGUGGAAUUUCCGGUGUAGCAGUGAAAUGCGUAGAGAUCGGAAGGAACACCAGUGGCGAAGGCGGCUUCCUGGACCAACACUGACGCUGAGGUGCGAAAGCGUGGGGAGCAAACA
RNAcentral lists this ribosomal RNA (427 nucleotides) under uncultured Methylococcus sp. RNAcentral describes it as "partial 16S ribosomal RNA". It matches the Rfam family "Bacterial small subunit ribosomal RNA", at positions 355 to 774 of the family's 1533-position model. The record is from RNAcentral. Lineage: Bacteria; Pseudomonadati; Pseudomonadota; Gammaproteobacteria; Methylococcales; Methylococcaceae.